UGGGGAAUAUUGGGCAAUGGGGGCAACCCUGACCCAGCGACGCCGCGUGAGGGAAGAAGGCCUUCGGGUUGUAAACCUCUUUUGUAUGGGAAGAAGGACGUGACGGUACCGUACGAAUAAGUCCCGGCUAACUCCGGCUAACUACGUGCCAGCAGCCGCGGUAAUACGUAGGGGACGAGCGUUGUCCGGAAUUACUGGGCGUAAAGGGCGCGCAGGCUGUGCUGCAAGUCAGCUGUGAAAUAUCUGGGCUUAACCCGGUUAUGCGGUUGAGACUGCAGUGCUGGAGUGCUGUAGAGGCAAGCGGAAUUCCCAGUGUAGCGGUGAAAUGCGUAGAUAUUGGGAAGAACACCGGUGGCGAAGGCGGCUUGCUGGGCAGCAACUGACGCUGAGGCGCGAAAGCCAGGGGAGCAAACGGG
This 416-nucleotide ribosomal RNA is filed under the name uncultured prokaryote. Its description in RNAcentral is "bacterial SSU rRNA". It matches the Rfam family "Bacterial small subunit ribosomal RNA", at positions 355 to 776 of the family's 1533-position model. The record is from RNAcentral. RNAcentral also lists the same sequence under 1 other name.